RNAcentral lists this ribosomal RNA (253 nucleotides) under uncultured bacterium. Its description in RNAcentral is "partial 16S ribosomal RNA". It matches the Rfam family "Bacterial small subunit ribosomal RNA", at positions 524 to 776 of the family's 1533-position model. The record is from RNAcentral.
UACGGGGGGAGCAAGCGUUGUUCGGAUUUACUGGGCGUAAAGGGCGCGUAGGCGGCGCAACAAGUCACUUGUGAAAUCUCCGGGCUUAACCCGGAGCGGCCAAGUGAUACUGUCGUGCUAGAGUGCGGAAGGGGCUACUGGAAUUCUCGGUGUAGUGGUGAAAUGCGUAGAGAUCCGGAGGAACACCAGUGGCGAAGGCGGCUGGCUGGACCUGACCUGACGCUGAGGCGCGAAGGCGUGGGGAGCGAACGGG